This 497-nucleotide ribosomal RNA is filed under the name uncultured bacterium. Its description in RNAcentral is "partial 16S ribosomal RNA". It matches the Rfam family "Bacterial small subunit ribosomal RNA", at positions 28 to 507 of the family's 1533-position model. The record is from RNAcentral.
GACGAACGCUGGCGGCGUGCCUAAUACAUGCAAGUUGAGCGCUGAAGGUUGGUACUUGUACCAACUGGAUGAGCAGCGAACGGGUGAGUAACGCGUGGGGAAUCUGCCUUUGAGCGGGGGACAACAUUUGGAAACGAAUGCUAAUACCGCAUAAAAACUUUAAACACAAGUUUUAAGUUUGAAAGAUGCAAUUGCAUCACUCAAAGAUGAUCCCGCGUUGUAUUAGCUAGUUGGUGAGGUAAAGGCUCACCAAGGCGAUGAUACAUAGCCGACCUGAGAGGGUGAGCGGCCACACUGGGACUGAGACACGGCCCAAACGCCUACGGGAGGCAGCAGUAGGGAAUCGUCGGCAAUGGACGAAAGUCUGACCGAGAAACGCCGCGUGAGGGAAGAAGGGUUUCGGAUCGUAAAACUCUGUUGGUAGAGAAGAACGUUGGUGAGAGUGGAAAGCUCAUCAAGUGACGGUAACUACCCAGAAAGGGACGGCUAACUACGUG